Molecule: long non-coding RNA, 303 nt
Organism: Salvelinus sp. IW2-2015
Lineage: Eukaryota; Metazoa; Chordata; Actinopteri; Salmoniformes; Salmonidae
Source: RefSeq, a predicted model, not a curated record
GACAGUGAACAAAAUCAUAAUGAAACAAAGUGCCUAAGUAACCCAAUUUUUAUUGAACCAUUGUCAGUUUAUUAUGAUAUUAACUAAAUGUGUCUUACACUCUGACUAUUGAUGUAAUAGAAUUCAAAUGAGGAUUGAGAGUGAAGUGUCCUGUCUGUUGUUGAUAGCUGACUGACUGGCUGACUGGUGUAUGUUGGUCGGUGUUACAGGUGGGAUCCAGCGGCGGCUAAGAGACAGAGACCUUCUCAAGAAAAGAAAGGCAGAGGCCGAGGAGAAGGCGAUUAACCAGGUAGAGAGCAGGAG